CAAUAGCGUACAUUAAAGUUGUUGCGGUUAAAAAGCUCGUAGUUGGAUUUCUGCUGAGGAUGACCGGUCCGCCCUCCGGGUGAGUAUCUGGCUCAGCCUUGGCAUCUUCCUGAAGAACGUAACUGCACUUGACUGUGUGGUGCGGUAUUUAGGACAUUUACUUUGAGGAAAUUAGAGUGUUUCAAGCAAGCGCACGCCUUGAAUACAUUAGCAUGGAAUAAUAAGAUAGGACCUCGGUUCUAUUUUGUUGGUUUCUAGAGCUGAGGUAAUGAUUGAUAGGGAUAGUUGGGGGCAUUCGUAUUUAACUGUCAGAGGUGAAAUUCUUGGAUUCGUUAAAGACGGACUACUGCGAAAGCAUUUGCCAAGGAUGUUUUCAUUGA
Molecule: ribosomal RNA, 380 nt
Filed under: uncultured eukaryote
Lineage: Eukaryota
Description: partial 18S ribosomal RNA
Rfam family: Eukaryotic small subunit ribosomal RNA
Source: RNAcentral